GACGAACGAGGGAGGGGGGAGGAACACAUGCAAGUCGAACGGAAAGGCCCUGCUUUUGUGGGGUGCUCGAGUGGCGAACGGGUGAGUAACACGUGAGUAACCUGCCCUUGACUUUGGGAUAACUUCAGGAAACUGGGGCUAAUACCGGAUAGGAGCUCCUGCUGCAUGGUGGGGGUUGGAAAGUUUCGGCGGUUGGGGAUGGACUCGCGGCUUAUCAGCUUGUUGGUGGGGUAGUGGCUUACCAAGGCUUUGACGGGUAGCCGGCCUGAGAGGGUGACCGGCCACAUUGGGACUGAGAUACGGCCCAGACUCCUACGGGAGGCAGCAGUGGGGAAUAUUGCACAAUGGGCGGAAGCCUGAUGCAGCAACGCCGCGUGCGGGAUGACGGCCUUCGGGUUGUAAACCGCUUUCGCCUGUGACGAAGCGUGAGUGACGGUAAUGGGUAAAGAAGCACCGGCUAACUACGUG
Molecule: ribosomal RNA, 468 nt
Filed under: uncultured bacterium
Lineage: Bacteria
Description: partial 16S ribosomal RNA
Rfam family: Bacterial small subunit ribosomal RNA
Source: RNAcentral